RNAcentral lists this ribosomal RNA (88 nucleotides) under Candidatus Mcinerneyibacteriota bacterium. RNAcentral's name for it is "partial 16S ribosomal RNA". It matches the Rfam family "Bacterial small subunit ribosomal RNA", at positions 1 to 88 of the family's 1533-position model. The record is from RNAcentral. Lineage: Bacteria; Candidatus Macinerneyibacteriota.
UUCAAUGAGAGUUUGAUCCUGGCUCAGAGCGAACAUUGGCGGCGCGUUUAACACAUGCAAGUCGAGCGAGAAAACUUCUUCGGAAGUG